AAUUCCAUCUAAAGCUAAAAACUGGCGAGAGACCGCUAGCGAACAAGUACAGUGAUGGAAAGAUGAAAAGCACUUUGAAAAGAGAGUGAAACAGCACGUGAAAUUGUUGAAAGGGAAGGGAAUGGGAUUAGCGGCCAGCAGGAGGUGCCUUCUCGUGAAAAGGCCGUGCACCGUCUUCGGACACCGUGCGCGGAGAUGGCGAGGGGGCGCCUGAGGUCUGCGACUCGAGGUUGCUGGCGUAAUGAUUGCAUACCACCCGUCUUGAAACACGGACCAAGGAGUCUAACGUCUAUGCGAGUAUGUGGGUGUCAAACCCGCGUGCGGAAUGAAAGUGACACGGUUGGAGCCGCAAGGCGCCCCAUCGACCGAACCUGAUGUUCUCGGAUGGUUUUGAGUAAGAGCAU
This 404-nucleotide ribosomal RNA is filed under the name Diutina rugosa. RNAcentral describes it as "partial large subunit ribosomal RNA". It matches the Rfam family "Eukaryotic large subunit ribosomal RNA", at positions 302 to 803 of the family's 3401-position model. Lineage: Eukaryota; Fungi; Ascomycota; Pichiomycetes; Serinales; Debaryomycetaceae. The record is from RNAcentral.